This 617-nucleotide unclassified non-coding RNA is filed under the name Hevea brasiliensis (rubber tree). The record is from RNAcentral. Lineage: Eukaryota; Viridiplantae; Streptophyta; Magnoliopsida; Malpighiales; Euphorbiaceae.
CAAGUAUAUCCAUUUUCAGUUCGAUUUGGAUAUACUUGAAUCAAUAACAGGGUCUUAAUUCUUAAAGGUUACUUUACAAAAACUUGCAAAUUCAAAAGAAGAUAGAUACAUAAAAUGUAAAGGCUAAAUUAGAUCUUGCCACGUGGCCCGAGCUUUGGUGGAAGUUGAGGGCCCUUCUUGAUUGGCAGAAUGUCACCAGAAGCUGUAGCACUCAGGUAAGCAAGGGUGGAGCCACCUCCCAAGAUCAAGAACUUGAGCAGCAAUCCUCUCUUGGUGAAUGGCGCUGCAAAUGUCUCGAAAAACUUGCUCUGAAGAGGGUUGUAGGGAGAAGGUGCAUCUGAUCCGUACAAGUCCCACUGCCCAGUAGUGUUGCCCAGAUCGUCCAAAUCAAAGUACACACUCUUAUCACCAUACUUUGCUACCACAGCGCCACUCCUCAUGUUUUUGGGUCUCAAGCUCUGGCGAGAUGGCUUGACACAGAGCUUUGUUCCAGUGAGGGAACUACCACCAAGGCCCUUGACGGUGGCAGUUUGCACGGACGCAAAGGUUGCUAGAGAUGCCAUUGCCCUGGUUUUGGUUCGCAGCCAGCUGAAGUCUUUCUCUAUGUUUCAGCAGGC